Molecule: ribosomal RNA, 207 nt
Filed under: uncultured bacterium
Lineage: Bacteria
Description: partial 16S ribosomal RNA
Rfam family: Bacterial small subunit ribosomal RNA
Source: RNAcentral
CGCGUAGGUGGUUUGUUAAGUUGGAUGUGAAAGCCCCGGGCUCAACCUGGGAACUGCAUCCAAAACUGGCAAGCUAGAGUACGGUAGAGGGUGGUGGAAUUUCCUGUGUAGCGGUGAAAUGCGUAGAUAUAGGAAGGAACACCAGUGGCGAAGGCGACCACCUGGACUGAUACUGACGCUGAGGCACGAAAGCGUGGGGAGCAAACA